ACUCCUACGGGAGGCAGCAGUAGGGAAUCUUCCGCAAUGGACGAAAGUCUGACGGAGCAACGCCGCGUGAGCGAUGAAGGCCUUCGGGUCGUAAAGCUCUGUUGUUAGGGAAGAACAAGUAUCGGAGUAACUGCCGGUACCUUGACGGUACCUAACCAGAAAGCCACGGCUAACUACGUGCCAGCAGCCGCGGUAAU
RNAcentral lists this ribosomal RNA (197 nucleotides) under uncultured Bacillus sp. RNAcentral's name for it is "partial 16S ribosomal RNA". It matches the Rfam family "Bacterial small subunit ribosomal RNA", at positions 335 to 524 of the family's 1533-position model. RNAcentral also lists the same sequence under 1 other name. Lineage: Bacteria; Bacillati; Bacillota; Bacilli; Caryophanales; Bacillaceae. The record is from RNAcentral.